Long non-coding RNA from Tupaia belangeri chinensis (Chinese tree shrew), 503 nucleotides. RefSeq lists it as uncharacterized. The transcript is spliced from 2 exons. NCBI's taxonomy places the organism in Eukaryota, Metazoa, Chordata, Mammalia, Scandentia, Tupaiidae. The record is from RefSeq and is a predicted model, not a curated record.
UACAGAACGUCGCGCCAUGCUGUCGUGCAUUUUUUGGACAGAAGUUAUAGAACGUCACCUUUACACUUGUCAGAAUCUCGGGGAGCACAGAAGAAAUCCAUCAGGACAUGGCCACUUUCCCAGUCCUCACCACGGGAGGCGCGGGCGUCUGCAGCCAGGUUUCCCUGCACCCUGGCCCCGAGGAACACAAGCGAGUCUGUGCACUCGAGGCCGAGUUCCCUGUGCCAAGAUACGUGUCCUUUACAAACCCUUCUCAAUGGCAGAUUCCGCAGGGCACUGGUUAACAGACAGAACAAUCUGACAGCUGUCAGAGUUAGAAAAUGAACCAAACCGAGAGGAAGACACAGAUGGGGUUUGUGGCUUUAUUUAGAAACAAACAGCGUGCACACGAGCCGUCUACUCGUUUUCUUCACUGCGCAGCCUGGCGUUGGGAUUGGUGACUCUGAUGGCCAGCUGGGCUGCCCGUUCCACGAUGGCCUUGCGGUUCUUGGAGGAGACGUUGU